RNAcentral lists this unclassified non-coding RNA (559 nucleotides) under Myrmecridium schulzeri. RNAcentral describes it as "sequence contains 18S rRNA gene, ITS1, 5.8S rRNA gene, ITS2, 28S rRNA gene". The stretch from base 207 to 360 matches the Rfam family "5.8S ribosomal RNA". The record is from RNAcentral. Lineage: Eukaryota; Fungi; Ascomycota; Sordariomycetes; Myrmecridiales; Myrmecridiaceae.
UCGUAACAAGGUCUCCGUUGGUGAACCAGCGGAGGGAUCAUUACGAGAGUGUCACCACUCCCAACCCAUUGUUUACCUACCCGUCCACCGUGCUUCGGCAGGCAGUCCUGUGGGACAGGGCCUCGCCCCCGCGAGGGGGUGCCUGCCGCUGGCCAACCAAAAUUCUAGCUGUUUUUGUACUAUCUGAGUCUUCCACAAAUAAACAAAACUUUCAACAACGGAUCUCUUGGUUCUGGCAUCGAUGAAGAACGCAGCGAAAUGCGAUAAGUAAUGUGAAUUGCAGAAUUCAGUGAAUCAUCGAAUCUUUGAACGCACAUUGCGCCCACUAGUAUUCUGGUGGGCAUGCCUGUUCGAGCGUCAUUUCAACCCUCAAGCCUGGCUUGGUGUUGGGGCUCUGCGUCUGCAGUCCCUUAAAUCCAGUGGCGGACACGCUAGGUCUCCGAGCGCAGUAGUUUCUUCUCGCUCAGGGCGUCCGGCGUGGGCUUGCCUCGCACCCAUCUUACACAAGGUUGACCUCGGAUCAGGUAGGAAUACCCGCUGAACUUAAGCAUAUCAAUAA